GGCGAGUGAACCGGGAAGAGCUCAAAUUUGAAAUCUGGCGUCCUCAGGGCGUCCGAGUUGUAAUCUAUAGAGGCGUUUUCCGUGCCGGACCGUGUCCAAGUUCCUUGGAACAGGAUAUCAAAGAGGGUGACAAUCCCGUACUUGACACGACGACCGGUGCUCUGUGAUACGUCUUCUACGAGUCGAGUUGUUUGGGAAUGCAGCUCAAAAUGGGUGGUGAGUUCCAUCUAAAGCUAAAUAUUGGCGAGAGACCGAUAGCGAACAAGUACCGUGAGGGAAAGAUGAAAAGCACUUUGGAAAGAGAGUUAAACAGUACGUGAAAUUGUUGAAAGGGAAACGAUUGAAGUCAGUCGUGACCGAGAGGCUCAGCCGGCUCUGCCGGUGUAUUCCCCUCGGUCGGGUCAACAUCAGUUUUGUCCGGUGGAUAAGGGCGGUAGGAAGGUGGCACCCUCGGGUGUGUUAUAGCCUGCCGUCGCAUACAUCGGGUGAGACUGAGGAACGCAGCUCGCCUUUAUGGCCGGGGUUCGCCCACGUCCGAGCUUAGGAUGUUGACAUAAUGGCUUUAAACGACCCGUCUUGAAA
This 582-nucleotide ribosomal RNA is filed under the name Papiliotrema laurentii. Its description in RNAcentral is "partial large subunit ribosomal RNA". It matches the Rfam family "Eukaryotic large subunit ribosomal RNA", at positions 88 to 659 of the family's 3401-position model. Lineage: Eukaryota; Fungi; Basidiomycota; Tremellomycetes; Tremellales; Rhynchogastremaceae. The record is from RNAcentral.